Molecule: ribosomal RNA, 253 nt
Filed under: uncultured bacterium
Lineage: Bacteria
Description: partial 16S ribosomal RNA
Rfam family: Bacterial small subunit ribosomal RNA
Source: RNAcentral
UACAUAGGGGGCAAGCGUUGUCCGGAUUUACUGGGUGUAAAGGGUGCGUAGGCGGGUUGGUAAGUCAGUGGUGAAAUCUCAUAGCUUAACUAUGAAACUGCCUCUGAUACUGCCAAUCUUGAGUUCAGAAGAGAGAGAUGGAAUUCCAGGUGUAGUGGUGAAAUACGUAGAUAUCUGGAGGAACACCAGAGGCGAAGGCGAUCUCUUGGUCUGUAACUGACGCUGAGGCACGAAAGCGUGGGUAGCGAACAGG